AGCAAGAGUAGUUGUUCAGAGAAACAUAAAAGCAAAGCGCGCCAAAUCAGUAAUAUCCUUCUAUCGAGUAUUCCACUCACGGCGACUACCAAAUCGCCAGCCCAAAACCUCCCCAGCAAUAGCAUGGGCAAGCAAAAGCAACAGGUAAUCUCCCGCUUCUUUGCUCCCAAAGCUAAAACCAAUGAUCCGUCAACUCUACCAACAACCCCUUCAUCUUCUUCGUCUCCGGCUUCAACCCCCAAAAUCUCUGCCACUGUCUCCUUCUCUCCCGCCAAAAGAAAACUCCUCUCUGCCCACCUCACUUCCACUCCAAAAAGGCCCAAACUUUCCCCUCGCACCCAAAAUCCUACCCCCACCCCCUCCGUCCACCAAAAGUUCCUCGACAAACUUCUAGAAUCAUCCCCUGAAACCUCACAGCCAUCGUCCACUCAAUCUUCAAUUCCCAAAAAGUACACCCCAUUAGAACAGC
Molecule: unclassified non-coding RNA, 469 nt
Filed under: Hevea brasiliensis (rubber tree)
Lineage: Eukaryota; Viridiplantae; Streptophyta; Magnoliopsida; Malpighiales; Euphorbiaceae
Source: RNAcentral